CUGGCUCAGAACGAACGCUGGCGGCAGGCCUAACACAUGCAAGUCGAGCGCCCCGCAAGGGGAGCGGCGGACGGGUGAGUAACGCGUGGGAACGUGCCUCUUGCUACGGAAUAGCCUCGGGAAACUGGGAGUAAUACCGUAUAAGCCCUACGGGGGAAAGAUUUAUCGGCAAGAGAUCGGCCCGCGUUGGAUUAGGUAGUUGGUGGGGUAAUGGCCUACCAAGCCGACGAUCCAUAGCUGGUUUGAGAGGAUGAUCAGCCACACUGGGACUGAGACACGGCCCAGACUCCUACGGGAGGCAGCAGUGGGGAAUCUUAGACAAUGGGCGCAAGCCUGAUCUAGCCAUGCCGCGUGAGCGAUGAAGGCCUUAGGGUUGUAAAGCUCUUUCGUGGGGGAAGAUAAUGACUGUACCCCAAGAAGAAGCCCCGGCUAACUCCGUGCCAGCAGCCGCGGUAAUACGGAGGGGGCUAGCGUUGUUCGGAAUUACUGGGCGUAAAGCGCACGUAGGCGGACUGGAAAGUCAGAGGUGAAAUCCCAGGGCUCAACCUUGGAACUGCCUUUGAAACUCCCAGUCUUGAGGUCGAG
This 585-nucleotide ribosomal RNA is filed under the name uncultured bacterium. RNAcentral's name for it is "bacterial SSU rRNA". It matches the Rfam family "Bacterial small subunit ribosomal RNA", at positions 19 to 652 of the family's 1533-position model. The record is from RNAcentral.